Molecule: RNA transcript, 3563 nt
Organism: Hipposideros armiger (great roundleaf bat)
Lineage: Eukaryota; Metazoa; Chordata; Mammalia; Chiroptera; Hipposideridae
Gene: KCTD11
Gene name: potassium channel tetramerization domain containing 11
Exons: 3
Source: RefSeq, a predicted model, not a curated record
UCCCGGGGUGCGGAGUGGAUGGGAAUUUUGGAGCUCGAGUCACGCAAGGGGUGACUCCCGGGGAGUUAAGUGGAAGCUGCAGCCUAAGCCCUAGCACCCGGCGGUCAUGGGGCGGGGCUCUUGGGCUCAGGCGACGUGGCCAGACCCGGCCGCGGAGAAGCCGCUUGCGUGGGCUGGGGCCGGCCUUCCAGUAGGGGAAGCUGGCAGCGGGCCGGGAUGGAGAGGCUGGGUCGGCCACCCCGGCUCGGAGGCAUCCACGGAAUGUGGCGGCUCAGCACUCGCCCCCUCGGGAAUUCCCAACGGGAGCGACGAGGAGGAAACUGACGGUCCCCAAGCCCUGGACAGUCGCGCCUCGGUUUUCUCAGAGGGGCAAGAUUGAGGACUCCUUCCGCCCCCGAGCUGCAGACGUGAAAUCGGGCACACCUAGGGCCGGCGGCCCGGGCCGUCGCGGCCACAUCCGGAGCGACGCGCCUGAGUCAACCUCGGGACCCCACCCCCACUCGCGCCCGCCCGUCCAGCCCGUCAGCCCAGUGUCUCCAGUUCGCCUCUGUCAGCUCCCACCUCCACCCGAGCCGCGCGAGCCUCGCGGGGGCGGGGGGCGGACCAAGGGGGCGGGGCUGUUUCUUAAAGGGUCCCCAGCCACUGCCCUUAGGCCACUUCCUGGGAGCAGAGAGGACUUCGGCGGCUGCUGCGACACCCCCGUAAGACGGCGACUCCCGGGUUCCUAGACUCCCGGCCGCUUCCCUCAGAGUCCUCGGACCAUCGCAGCUUGGACUGAGAGUGCAUCCUCGUUCCCUAACCGAUAUAAAGGCACCUCCACCAUCAGCUCCAGGCAGCCCAGCCUCCAUCUCCUGGGACCCGCGCGGGAGCCAGGCCUCUGACCAGCCCCCGGAACCCUGAGUAGACUCGCCCACAGCGACAGCAAUCUGCCCAAGAACUCGGAAGCUGGACCCUUCAAAGAAUCGGCCUUGUGCUCGCCACCGUCACCUGCUGGUUGGAUUCCGGAAACCCACUUGUCUGAAGACCUCGGAAAGGAAUCGCUGAUCACCCAAAAUCGGAUGCGUCUGAACCUAAAACUCCCUUCCUUCUUGGGCUUCCCUGUGCUCUUUUCAUUCGUUCUCUCAACCUUUCAGGCGUUUCUGUGCCAGGCACCAUCCCCCACCAACAAAGUAGCUGGGUGAGCCCCAAAUCUUGCUGCCUUGUACUCCAAUCGGUGCCUCCAACUUAGAGUCUGAACUUUACAAUUCAAUUCUGCACACACUCAGGAAGCUCUGCCUUGUCUUCUCUUUUGGUGUCUCCAGUAGGCCCCAAAAUUUCCCCUCCUCCUGUGCCCUCUUCGCCCCCUUCCUUUGGGGGCCCUGUGACCCUGAAUGUGGGGGGCACGCUGUAUUCUACCACUUUGGAGACCCUGACUCGCUUCCCAGACUCCAUGCUGGGGGCCAUGUUUAGGGCUGGCACCUCCAUGCCCCCCAACCUCAACCCCCAGGGAGGUGGCCACUACUUCAUCGACAGAGAUGGCAAGGCCUUCCGGCACAUUCUCAAUUUCCUGCGGCUGGGCCGCCUGGACCUGCCCCUUGGGUAUGGGGAGACAGCACUUCUUAGGGCAGAGGCCGACUUCUACCAGAUCCGGCCCCUCCUAGAUGCCCUGCGGGAACUGGAGGCCUCGCGGAGGACCCCUGCACCCACAGCUGCCCUGCUUCACGCAGAUGUAGAUGCCAACCCCCGCCUGGUGCACUUCUCUGCUCGCCGGGGCCCACACCACUAUGAGCUGAGCUCUGUCCAGGUGGACACCUUCCGAGCCAACCUCUUCUGCACUGACCCAGAGUGUCUGGAUGCCAUGAGGGCCCGAUUUGGUGUGGCCAAUGAGGAGAGAGCAGAGGGAGGCCCACACUUUCGUUUGGAGUGGGCCCCCCGCCCCACAGAACUCCCUGAAGUGGAGUACAGGAGACUGGGGCUGCAGCCAUUGUGGACUGGGGGGCCAGGAGAACGACGGGAAGUGGUGGGCACACCGGGCUUCUUGGAGGAGGUGCUGCGGGUGGCUCUGGAGCAUGGCUUCCGUCUAGACUCUGUUUUCCCUGACCCUGAAGACCUGCUCAACUCCAGAUCUCUGCGCUUUGUCCGUCACUGAAAACCAAGAACUGGGAAUGCUCUCCUCCGUUUGACUGGGGGUUGGGGGAGAAAGGGAGCAGCAAAGGGGAUGAAGGCUCCCCUGAAGCCUCUUCCUAGCUCUGCUAUAGGAGCUGUGAGAGUCAGGGUUCCCACUGCACCAGAUUGGAGCCUACAAGUGGGCAGGACUCCCCAAACCCAAGCCCGCUGAGGGCUUGCAAGUGGUACAGAGGCUCUGGACUGGUGCUAAUCCUGGGAGGGGUGGGGAAAGUUCCCCUGGCUUGUUCUUGCCUUGAGACUGGGGACCUCCAGUAUUUCCUUGGUUAGAGUUCAGUAUUCAGGGGUCUGAAAAGUGGGGACACUUCUCUGCCCAGGCUAAGCCUAUCUAGCAGAACCCUGCAGGGACACUGAGGGUUGGGAGGAAGAGGGACUUUGCUCUAAUGUGACUUCUCCUCCUGGAGCUGGGUGGCCUGGCCUGACCAAUGACAGGCCAGAACACUCUGGAACAUGGGAAGAGAGAUUCUUUGCUGUGUCCCAAGCUACCUACGGAGGGAGACAGAAAGGCUACACCACACCCUAAGCUGGCAUAAGGUAGCUAGGAGAAUUCCCAUUAACUAUGGGGUAGAGCAUCCCUCUGGAGAUCCAAGUGUUUUAAAGGAUCCCAUAUUAAUGGUGGGGCUGGUCAUGGGGAGGAGGGUGGCAUCUUCUUGGGUCCUGGCCUUUCUUCCUUCAUGUGUGCGUGUGUUCUGCAUGUGUCUGACGGAUGUGGGGGUCUCUGACAUCCUGGCUCCCAUCUGUGUUUUUGGAGACCAUGUCUGUGUGCUGGUCUUUCUGUGGUCUCUGCAUGUCCAGGCCUGUUUGGGGUUGCCCAGCAACUGUUUGAGCACCAGGUGUGUCUGUGGUAUGGAUGUGAGUAAACUGAGAAUAAGUAGUUUAAUCACAAGGGAUGUGUGUGAAUGUGCAUUCGCAUCACCACAUAUGGGCCAGUUGGGGUUUGAAUCAUUAGGAUCUUCCUGGUGAAAGCUUCUCAGGCCUGUGUCUUCUGCCGUCUCCCAUCCCGACACUUAUCAGGCCGCCUGGCUCAACUCUGCAGCCAGAUGGGGGCCCCGUGGAAGGACUGUAAAGCCUCCUGGAACUUCUCAGCCUUUGCCUUAGGUAAGUCCAGAGACGGGCCUAGCCAUACUCACCCCCAUGCCCCAAGAAGGGCAACAUGUGGCUUCCCAGCUGUGCCCCUCAGCUGUCACCUCAGUCCAUAGCCCUUCCUGGACACACUGGCCUCUCUCUGAGAGAGCGUUUUGGAUCCUGGGAAAGUCAGGAAAGAUCCCAGAAUCUUCUGGGCUAAUAAGGGAAUCACUCACUGGUCCUUGCCCAUUUCCACAGAUGAAGUGUCCAUGAACAAAGUCACAGAGAAGACUCACAGAGUUCUGAGGGUCAUGGAGAUCAAAAAGUCUGUCUCC